UAUGACUUUCAAUGUAUUAGGUUUAUCCAACUCGUUGAAUAGUUUAAUGGUAUAUUUCUCGGUAUUCUAGGCUCGGCCUUACAAUAUAACAAACAAGUUGACCU
Molecule: ribosomal RNA, 104 nt
Filed under: Schwanniomyces capriottii
Lineage: Eukaryota; Fungi; Ascomycota; Pichiomycetes; Serinales; Debaryomycetaceae
Description: Debaryomyces castellii partial 28S ribosomal RNA
Source: RNAcentral